Molecule: ribosomal RNA, 251 nt
Filed under: uncultured prokaryote
Description: partial 16S rRNA
Rfam family: Bacterial small subunit ribosomal RNA
Source: RNAcentral
ACGUAUGGGGCUAGCGUUGUUCGGAAUUAUUGGGCGUAAAGGGCGUCUAGGCGGGGGAUUAAGUUGGGUGUGAAAUCCCUGGGCUCAACCCAGGAACUGCAUCCAAAACUGGUUCUCUUGAGUUCGGGAGAGGAGAGCGGAAUUCCCGGUGUUGCGGUGAAAUGCGUAGAAUUCGGGAAAAACACCCGUGGCGAAGGCCGCUUCCUGGCCUAGAAAUGGCGCUUAAGCGCCGAAGCGUGGGGAGCGAACGG